UAUUCCCUACGGGGGGCAGCAGUGGGGAUAUUGCACAAUGGAGGAAACUCUGAUGCAGCGACGCCGCGUGAGGGAAGACGGUCUUCGGAUUGUAAACCUCUGUCUUUGGGGAAGAAAAUGACGGUACCCAAAGAGGAAGCUCCGGCUAACUACGUGCCAGCAGCCGCGGUAAUACGUAGGGAGCGAGCGUUGUCCGGAAUUACUGGGUGUAAAGGGAGCGUAGGCGGGCGAGAAAGUUGAAUGUUAAAUCUACCGGCUUAACCGGUAGCUGCGUUCAAAACUUCUUGUCUUGAGUGAAGUAGAGG
RNAcentral lists this ribosomal RNA (305 nucleotides) under uncultured bacterium. RNAcentral describes it as "bacterial SSU rRNA". It matches the Rfam family "Bacterial small subunit ribosomal RNA", at positions 333 to 657 of the family's 1533-position model. The record is from RNAcentral.